Molecule: ribosomal RNA, 253 nt
Filed under: uncultured bacterium
Lineage: Bacteria
Description: partial 16S ribosomal RNA
Rfam family: Bacterial small subunit ribosomal RNA
Source: RNAcentral
UACGUAGGGUGCGAGCGUUGUCCGGAAUCACUGGGCGUAAAGAGCGCGUAGGCGGCUCGGGAAGUCGGCGGUGAAAGCCCGGGGCUCAACCCCGGGUCGGCCGUCGAUACUCUCGUGCUUGAGCACUGUAGAGGCAGGUGGAAUUCCGGGUGUAGCGGUGGAAUGCGUAGAGAUCCGGAAGAACACCGGUGGCGAAGGCGGCCUGCUGGGCAGUAGCUGACACUGAGGCGCGACAGCGUGGGGAGCAAACGGG